This 484-nucleotide ribosomal RNA is filed under the name uncultured bacterium. Its description in RNAcentral is "bacterial SSU rRNA". It matches the Rfam family "Bacterial small subunit ribosomal RNA", at positions 27 to 507 of the family's 1533-position model. The record is from RNAcentral.
CGAAUGAACGCUGGCGGCGUGCCUAACACAUGCAAGUCGAGCGAGAAAUCCCGGGUUCGCCUGGGAGAGUACAGCGGCGCACGGGUGAGUAACGCGUGGGUAACCUGCCCUCGAGUGGGGGAUAACCUUCCGAAAGGAGGACUAAUCCCGCAUACGUCAUCAGGACACAAGUCCUGAUGGGAAAGAUGGCCUCUGUUUACAAGCUAUCGCUCUUGGAUGGGCCCGCGUUGGAUUAGCUAGUUGGUGAGGUAACGGCUCACCAAGGCCGCGAUCCAUAACUGGUUUGAGAGGACGACCAGUCACACUGGAACUGAGACACGGUCCAGACUCCUACGGGAGGCAGCAGUGAGGAAUAUUGCGCAAUGGGGGGAACCCUGACGCAGCGACGCCGCGUGAGCGACGAAGGCCUUCGGGUCGUAAAGCUCUGUUCUUGGGGACGAAGGAAAUGACGGUACCCAAGGAGAAAGCCCCGGCUAACUACGUG